UGCCCUAGUAACGGCGAGUGAAGCGGCAAUAGCUCAAAUUUGAAAGCUGGCCUUCUGGUCCGCAUUGUAAUUUGUAGAGGAUGCUUUUAGGCAGCCGCCGGUCUAAGUUCCUUGGAACAGGACGUCAUAGAGGGUGAGAAUCCCGUAUGUGACCGGCUCUGGCACCUUAUGUAAAGCUCCUUCGACGAGUCGAGUUGUUUGGGAAUGCAGCUCUAAAUGGGAGGUAAAUUUCUUCUAAAGCUAAAUACUGGCGAGAGACCGAUAGCGCACAAGUAGAGUGAUCGAAAGAUGAAAAGCACUUUGGAAAGAGAGUUAAAAAGCACGUGAAAUUGUUGAAAGGGAAGCGCUUGCAAUCAGACUUGGACUUGGCUGUUCAACCGGUCUUCUGACCGGCCCACUCAGUCUUGUCCAGGCCAGCAUCAGUUUCGGCGGCCGGAUAAAGGCCCUGGGAAUGUAGCUGUCUCUUCGGGGACAGUGUUAUAGCCCAGGGUGUAAUACGGCCAGCCGGGACUGAGGUCCGCGCUCCGGCUAGGAUGCUGGCGUAAUGGUUGUAAGCGGCCCGUCUUGAAACACGGACCAAGGAGUCUAACAUCUAUGCGAGUGUUAGGGUGUCAAACCCUUACGCGUAAUGAAAGUGAACGGAGGUGGGAACCCGCAAGGGUGCACCAUCGACCGAUCCUGAUGUCUUCGGAUGGAUUUGAGUAAGAGCAUAGCUGUUGGGACCCGAAAGAUGGUGAACUAUGCCUGAAUAGGGUGAAGCCAGAGGAAACUCUGGUGGAGGCUCGCAGCGGUUCUGACGUGCAAAUCGAUCGUCAAAUUUGGGUAUAGGGGCGAAAGACUAAUCGAACCAUUAAGUUAUCAGACUACUAGGUGGUUAAGA
RNAcentral lists this ribosomal RNA (880 nucleotides) under Dothiora elliptica. Its description in RNAcentral is "LSU rRNA". It matches the Rfam family "Eukaryotic large subunit ribosomal RNA", at positions 76 to 1397 of the family's 3401-position model. Lineage: Eukaryota; Fungi; Ascomycota; Dothideomycetes; Dothideales; Dothioraceae. The record is from RNAcentral.